AUGAAUUACCGAUGCAAGUCGAAGAAGGAUUGGCCGGUGCUGCCGGCCGGCGUCAUGUUCGAUCCCACGGAUCAGGAGCUGAUCGAGCACCUUGAGGCCAAAGUGAGUGCUGACAGCGCGAGAUUUCAGUCUCUCAUCGAUUUGUUCAUACCAACCAUCGACAGCGAGCACGGUAUAUGCUACACCCAACCCGAGAAACUUCCAGGUAUCACACUGAGUGGCCUAAGGAAGCAUUUCUUCCAGAGCAAUUCCAAGGCGUUCAAAAGGGGCACGUGGACGCGUCGCAAGAUACAGUCGGAGUGCGGCAUGCACGCAAUGUGGCACAAGACCGGCAAUACCUUGCCGGUGAUGGUCAACGGCCGGUCGAGCAAGUUUCAACUGGGCUGUAGACUGCCCAGGGUUGGUUUUGUUUUUACCAGUCCCAGCCCAUGA
RNAcentral lists this ribosomal RNA (432 nucleotides) under Triticum aestivum (bread wheat). RNAcentral describes it as "partial small subunit ribosomal RNA". The record is from RNAcentral. Lineage: Eukaryota; Viridiplantae; Streptophyta; Magnoliopsida; Poales; Poaceae.